RNAcentral lists this ribosomal RNA (253 nucleotides) under uncultured bacterium. Its description in RNAcentral is "partial 16S ribosomal RNA". It matches the Rfam family "Bacterial small subunit ribosomal RNA", at positions 524 to 776 of the family's 1533-position model. The record is from RNAcentral.
UACAGAGGUCCCAAGCGUUGUUCGGAUUUACUGGGCGUAAAGGGUGCGUAGGCGGUCGGGUAAGUCUGAUGUGAAAUCUCUGGGCUCAACCCAGAAAUGGCAUUGGAUACUAUUCGGCUGGAGAGUUGGAGGGGGGACUGGAAUACUUGGUGUAGCAGUGAAAUGCGUAGAUAUCAAGUGGAACACCAGUGGCGAAGGCGAGUCCCUGGACAACUUCUGACGCUGAGGCACGAAAGCUAGGGGAGCAAACAGG